This 326-nucleotide ribosomal RNA is filed under the name uncultured eukaryote. Its description in RNAcentral is "partial 18S ribosomal RNA". It matches the Rfam family "Eukaryotic small subunit ribosomal RNA", at positions 1470 to 1796 of the family's 1831-position model. The record is from RNAcentral.
CCCUUAGAUGUUCUGGGCUGCACGUGCGCUACACUGAUGCACUCAACGAGUUUACGACCUUGCCCGAUAGGGUUGGGUAAUCUUUUUAAAAUGCAUCGUGAUGGGGAUAGAUUAUUGCAAUUAUUAAUCUUCAACGAGGAAUUCCUAGUAAGCGCGAGUCAUCAGCUCGUGCUGAUUACGUCCCUGCCCUUUGUACACACCGCCCGUCGCUCCUACCGAUUGAGUGCUCAGGUGAAUAAUUCGGACUGCAGCAAUGUUUGGAUCCCGAACGUUGCAGCGGAAAGUUUAGUGAACCUUAUCACUUAGAGGAAGGAGAAGUCGUAACA